AGAACACAUCAACAGCAGAAAAUGCGGGUGUUGUAUAAAGCAUUUUCCAGAAGAGAUGGGUCUUUGUGAGGGAACACCAACUGAAAGGCUAACAACAUUUCCCUUUUAUAAUAAUAAGGUUGCUGAUUGAAUUUUAAAGCUGUGCCCUAAGCUGAUUCAGCAACAACCAAGAAAGCUGAGCCAAGAUGGAUUUAAGCUAACACGUCCAAUGCCUUGAAGACAGGAAAUAUGGCUCCAGUAGGGGAAGCAGUAAACAAGGAGAGGGCUAAAAAUCUGGUGAAACAAGAAAAUAUAAAACCUGCUCAAGUUGCUGGAGAGGGUCAGCUUGAUUCCAUUUUCUGUGUAUGUGCUCUCCAGUGACCUGGCAUGACCCUUCUCGCUGAAAUGGAUUGGGACACUUGGAUGGAGACUCUGUCCAUUGUUAUGUUACAGCCAUGGCCAAUGCUACUUUGCCAGACUACUCAGACCAUUAGCUACCAACAGUGGAAGUAAACAGUGUCUGUGCUUAUUCCUGCACUUCCUCAAAAAAGUCUAUUCCCUGAAAACUCAUUCUGCCAGACUUCAGAUGAACCUCAAACAAGUUGGGAUCUCUGUUACCAGUAACUGUACCACAUCAGAGGAGUCGCAAUAUCCUUUUUUACUCCAGUAAAGAGCAACUUCAG
Long non-coding RNA from Passer domesticus (house sparrow), 662 nucleotides. RefSeq lists it as uncharacterized. Lineage: Eukaryota; Metazoa; Chordata; Aves; Passeriformes; Passeridae. The transcript has 6 exons. The record is from RefSeq and is a predicted model, not a curated record.